Molecule: ribosomal RNA, 497 nt
Filed under: uncultured bacterium
Lineage: Bacteria
Description: partial 16S ribosomal RNA
Rfam family: Bacterial small subunit ribosomal RNA
Source: RNAcentral
GAUGAACGCUGGCGGCGUGCCUAAUACAUGCAAGUCGAGCGAACAGACGAGGAGCUUGCUUCUCUGACGUUAGCGGCGGACGGGUGAGUAACACGUGGAUAACCUACCUAUAAGACUGGGAUAACUUCGGGAAACCGUAGCUAAUACCGGAUAAUAUUUUGAACCGCAUGGUUCAAUAGUGAAAGACGGUUUUGCUGUCACUUAUAGAUGGAUCCGCGCUGCAUUAGCUAGUUGGUAAGGUAACGGCUUACCAAGGCGACGAUGCGUAGCCGACCUGAGAGGGUGAUCGGCCACACUGGAACUGAGACACGGUCCAGACUCCUACGGGAGGCAGCAGUAGGGAAUCUUCCGCAAUGGGCGAAAGCCUGACGGAGCAACGCCGCGUGAGUGAUGAAGGUCUUCGGAUCGUAAAACUCUGUUAUUAGGGAAGAACAAAUGUGUAAGUAACUAUGCACGUCUUGACGGUACCUAAUCAGAAAGCCACGGCUAACUACGUG